GACGAACGCUGGCGGCGUGCUUAACACAUGCAAGUCGAACGGAAAGGCCCUGCUUUGGUUGGGUGCUCGAGUGGCGAACGGGUGAGUAACACGUGGGUGACCUGCCCUUGACUUUGGGAUAACUUCGGGAAACUGGGGCUAAUACCGGAUAGGAGCUCCUGCUGCAUGGUGGGGGUGGGAGAGUUUCGGCGGUUGGGGAUGGACUCGCGGCUUAUCAGCGUGUUGGUGGGGUAGUGGCUUACCAAGGCUUUGACGGGUAGCCGGCCUGAGAGGGUGACCGGCCACAUUGGGACUGAGAUACGGCCCUGACUCCUACGGGAGGCAGCAGUGGGGAAUAUUGCACAAUGGGCGGAAGCCUGAUGCAGCAACGCCGCGUGCGGGAUGACGGCCUUCGGGUUGUAAACCGCUUUCGCCUGUGACGAAGCGUGAGUGACGGUAAUGGGUAAAGAAGCACCCGCCAACUAACUG
RNAcentral lists this ribosomal RNA (468 nucleotides) under uncultured bacterium. Its description in RNAcentral is "partial 16S ribosomal RNA". It matches the Rfam family "Bacterial small subunit ribosomal RNA", at positions 28 to 507 of the family's 1533-position model. The record is from RNAcentral.